Arabidopsis thaliana (thale cress) is the source of this 346-nucleotide RNA transcript. RefSeq lists it as uncharacterized. NCBI's taxonomy places the organism in Eukaryota, Viridiplantae, Streptophyta, Magnoliopsida, Brassicales, Brassicaceae. The transcript has 2 exons. The record is from RefSeq.
UUCAAAUUCUAAGAUGAGUAAUAAGAGAUCGGUCGGGAGAGUAUUGAGUCUAGAUGAUGAUGAAGCAGAAGAUAAGUUUUACAGGCUCAAGGUUCUUUUACCAAACAGCACAAGUGUGACACUCGCACUUACCAACCCUGAACCUAGAAUGUCAAUGAAUAAUUUUGUUAACUUGGUGAAAGAGGAAUAUGAGAAAAGCCUGAACAAAUGUGUAUUGUCCGGUAAGAAGAGGAAGCGGGUUGAUUGGAAUUUGGCUGUCAAAUAUUAUCUCGAGUUUAACGGCGAAAAGAUUAAAGAAAUCGUUCGAUUUGACAAGUUUAAGCCUGAUUUGUGCAAUGUACUCCGU